UCCGGUUGAUCCUGCCRGACCCGACUGCUAUCAGAGUGAGACUAAGCCAUGCGAGUUAACGUAUGAAUAAUACGUGGCACACGGCUCAGUAACACGUAGUCAACAUGCCCAGAGGACGUGGAUAACCUCGGGAAACUGAGGAUAAACCACGAUAGGCCAUAAUUACUGGAAUGGGUUAUGGCUUAAAUCUAUAUGGCCUCUGGAUUGGACUGCGGCCGAUCAGGCUGUUGGUGAGGUAAUGGCCCACCAAACCUGUUACCGGUACGGGCUCUGAGAGGAGGAGCCCGGAGAUGGGCACUGAGACAAGGGCCCAGGCCCUAUGGGGCGCAGCAGGCGCGAAACCUCUGCAAUAGGCGAAAGCUUGACAGGGUUACUCUGAGUGAUUUCCGUUAAGGAGAUCUUUUGGCACCUCUAAAAAUGGUGCAGAAUAAGGGGUGGGCAAGUCUGGUGUCAGCCGCCGCGGUAAUACCAGCACCCCGAGUGGUCGGGACGUUUAUUGGGCCUAAAGCAUCCGUAGCCGGUUCUACAAGUCUUCCGUUAAAUCCACCUGCUUAACAGAUGGGCUGCGGAAGAUACUAUAGAGCUAGGAGGCGGGAGAGGCAAGCGGUACUCGAUGGGUAGGGGUAAAAUCCGUUGAUCCAUUGAAGACCACCAGUGGCGAAGGCGGCUUGCCAGAACGCGCUCGACGGUGAGGGAUGAAAGCUGGGGGAGCAAACCGGAUUAGAUACCCGGGUAGUCCCAGCUGUAAACGAUGCAGACUCGGUGAUGAGUUGGCUUAUUGCUAACUCAGUGCCGCAGGGAAGCCGUUAAGUUUGCCGCCUGGGGAGUACGGUCGCAAGACUGAAACUUAAAGGAAUUGGCGGGGGAGCACCACAAGGGGUGAAGCCUGCGGUUCAAUUGGAKUCAACGCCGGRA
This 915-nucleotide ribosomal RNA is filed under the name uncultured archaeon. RNAcentral describes it as "bacterial SSU rRNA". It matches the Rfam family "Archaeal small subunit ribosomal RNA", at positions 1 to 923 of the family's 1478-position model. The record is from RNAcentral.